Molecule: non-coding RNA, 78 nt
Organism: Henosepilachna vigintioctopunctata
Lineage: Eukaryota; Metazoa; Arthropoda; Insecta; Coleoptera; Coccinellidae
Source: the annotation of a GenBank genome assembly
GCCGGUUUACGUGGUUUAGUCGUGGAAAACACCCGACCAAGGUGCGGUAGAACUCGGGUUCGAGCCCCGCUGAAGGCA